UACGUAGGGCGCAAGCGUUGUCCGGAAUUAUUGGGCGUAAAGAGCUCGUAGGCGGUUUGUCGCGUCUGCUGUGAAAACCUGAGGCUCAACCUCGGGCUUGCAGUGGGUACGGGCAGACUAGAGUGCGGUAGGGGUGACUGGAAUUCCUGGUGUAGCGGUGGAAUGCGCAGAUAUCAGGAGGAACACCGAUGGCGAAGGCAGGUCACUGGGACGCAACUGACGCUGAGGAGCGAAAGCGUGGGGAGCGAACAGG
Molecule: ribosomal RNA, 253 nt
Filed under: uncultured bacterium
Lineage: Bacteria
Description: partial 16S ribosomal RNA
Rfam family: Bacterial small subunit ribosomal RNA
Source: RNAcentral